GAUGAACGCUGGCGGCGUGCCUAAUACAUGCAAGUCGAGCGAACAGACGAGGAGCUUGCUCCUCUGACGUUAGCGGCGGACGGGUGAGUAACACGUGGAUAACCUACCUAUAAGACUGGGAUAACUUCGGGAAACCGGAGCUAAUACCGGAUAAUAUAUUGAACCGCAUGGUUCAAUAGUGAAAGACGGUUUUGCUGUCACUUAUAGAUGGAUCCGCGCCGAAUUAGCUAGUUGGUAAGGUAACGGCUUACCAAGGCAACGAUGCGUAGCCGACCUGAGAGGGUGAUCGGCCAAACUGGAACUGAGACACGGUCCAGACUCCUACGGGAGGAAGCAGUAGGGAAUCUUCCGCAAUGGGCGAAAGCCUGACGGAGCAACGCCGCGUGAGUGAUGAAGGUCUUCGGAUCGUAAAACUCUGUUAUUAGGGAAGAACAAAUGUGUAAGUAACUAUGCACGUCUUGACGGUACCUAAUCAGAAAGCCACGGCUAACUACGUG
This 497-nucleotide ribosomal RNA is filed under the name uncultured bacterium. Its description in RNAcentral is "partial 16S ribosomal RNA". It matches the Rfam family "Bacterial small subunit ribosomal RNA", at positions 28 to 507 of the family's 1533-position model. The record is from RNAcentral.